Small nuclear RNA from Microtus ochrogaster (prairie vole), 106 nucleotides. The record is from Ensembl. NCBI's taxonomy places the organism in Eukaryota, Metazoa, Chordata, Mammalia, Rodentia, Cricetidae.
GUGCUUGCUUCAGUUGCACAUUUUUAAAAUUGGAACGAUAUAGAGAAGAUUUGUCAUGGUCUUGUGCAAGGAUAACAUGCAAAUUCAUGAAGUGUUUCCUAUUUUA